GUUGCUGGAGCUGUGAGUUUCAUUCGGAACACUUGGUUUUUGUCAUUCCGACUGUGCACAUUUUUGAGAGUUCUGCUGUUUUUACAAGUCCUCCAUGAACUGUGUUAUCGAGUGAGAGACAUUGAUUUUGUCACUUGAGUGCACUUGUUGAAAUGAGUCACUUAAGUGCACUUGUUAGAGCGCAAGAAUGCAUGUAGUUUUCUACGGAUAUUUUUUCUUUACUUUUUGAGUAUUUUUGCAUUCUUUUUGAGCAUUUUGGAAGAGACUGAAAUCGUUAUGAUCAAGUUUUACUUUUGAAAAUCCCUUUUUGAGAAACACUGCAAGCAAGACACUGUUUAGGUCAUCCAUCAAGUCAUUCCUCAAGUCAUCUCUCAGGUCAUCGCAUCCAAGUCAUCAUUGCUACAGAUUGACCAAGACAGCCACAACAAAGGUUGGGGGCAAAAAAGUGGAAAGGAACACACAGUCAGAUCUCAUGUGUGUACUCUUCUCAGAAGGUUAAUGGACUUUGAGUGGUUAUGCAAGUUUACAAAUGUAUCAAAACUUUGAU
Cyprinus carpio carpio is the source of this 547-nucleotide long non-coding RNA. The record is from Ensembl. NCBI's taxonomy places the organism in Eukaryota, Metazoa, Chordata, Actinopteri, Cypriniformes, Cyprinidae.